This 758-nucleotide ribosomal RNA is filed under the name Chiua virens. RNAcentral describes it as "eukaryotic LSU rRNA". It matches the Rfam family "Eukaryotic large subunit ribosomal RNA", at positions 100 to 854 of the family's 3401-position model. The record is from RNAcentral. Lineage: Eukaryota; Fungi; Basidiomycota; Agaricomycetes; Boletales; Boletaceae.
GGGAAGAGCUCAAAUUUUGAAUCUGGCAGUCUUUGGCUGUCCGAGUUGUAAUCUAGAGAAGCGUUUUCCGCGUUGGACCGUGUACAAGUCUCCUGGAAGGGAGCGUCAUAGAGGGUGACAAUCCCGUCUUUGACACGGACGACCAGGGCUAUGUGAUGCGCUCUCGACGAGUCGAGUUGUUUGGGAAUGCAGCUCAAAAUGGGUGGUAAAUUCCAUCUAAAGCUAAAUACAUGCGAGAGACCGAUAGCGAACAAGUACCGUGAGGGAAAGAUGAAAAGAACUUUGAAAAGAGAGUUAAACAGUACGUGAAAUUGCUGAAAGGGAAACGCUUGAUGUCAGUCGCGUCUGCCGGGGAUCAACCUUGCUUCAUUGCCGGGGUGCAUUUCCUGGUCGACGGGUCAGCAUCAGUUUCGAUCGCUCGUACAAGGUCGGAGGGAACGUAGCACUCUUCGGAGUGUGUUAUAGCCUUUCGCCGUAUCCGGCGGUAGGGACUGAGGAACUCAGCACGACUUUUCGUUUGUGCUUGGGAUGCUGGCAUAAUGGCCUUAAGCGACCCGUCUUGAAACACGGACCAAGGAGUCUAACAUGCCUGCGAGUGUUUGGGUGCCAAACUCAAGCGCGAAAUGAAAGUGAACGUCGAGAUCUCUGUCAUGGAGUGCAUCGAUGCCCGGGCCCUGAGUCUUUGACGACGGUUCUGCGGUAGAGCAUGCAUGUUAGGACCCGAAAGAUGGUGAACUAUGCCUGAUAGGGUGAAGCCA